This is a non-coding RNA of Triticum urartu, 339 nucleotides long. Lineage: Eukaryota; Viridiplantae; Streptophyta; Magnoliopsida; Poales; Poaceae. The record is from RefSeq and is a predicted model, not a curated record.
AGGAAGGGACAUCUUGAUCGCAAGUGACUAACUGGAAGCAACCGAGGGAGGUAAGAUGCAUGCAUAUUCAACUUGCUGGUUUUCCAAGUUUAGGACUGUGAUUACUGAAUAAUUAAGUUCUUGUGACAGGGAACUAUGCAUCCUGAAUGGCAUAGACUCUUGGCUUCAUGAAAUGACCCAUGUCUAUGAUUCAAGGGAUAAAGUAAAGAAAAACAAGAAAAGAUUACUAGAAGAUUAGUUUUAGAAUUUUCUUUUAUUUCCUUGUAAUUUUUCUUUUAUUGGAUACUUGUAAAGACAUUGUAAUAUUCUUACUAUAAUAAAAAUUAUGAUUCUAUUUCA